GUUGCAGUUAUGGUUUACCCGGGUUCUUUCACGGCGGUAACACGGGUUCGAAUCCCGUCGGGGACGCCA
RNAcentral lists this transfer RNA (69 nucleotides) under Granulicella mallensis. RNAcentral describes it as "tRNA-OTHER". Lineage: Bacteria; Pseudomonadati; Acidobacteriota; Terriglobia; Terriglobales; Acidobacteriaceae. The record is from RNAcentral.